Molecule: long non-coding RNA, 529 nt
Filed under: Homo sapiens (human)
Lineage: Eukaryota; Metazoa; Chordata; Mammalia; Primates; Hominidae
Description: HSALNT0200436
Source: RNAcentral
ACUCACCAUUGCCCAACAUAGGAGCUGUUUUAUGUCUUCCUCUUGAUUCUCACUGUUUCCUGCUUUGGAGCAUAAGCUGGACAGAAGAAUACCAUCGGAGCUCCUCUGGAACAUGUCCUUGUCUUCUCAGAGUGUGAAGUGUGUGUGUGACAGUGCUUUUCUGAGGACUCAGGUGACCUGGAGGCUGGAGAACAGCAUGGAGCAAGGAAAACAAAGACGAUGUGCUGGAGUGUAUGUUGCUUUCAUAAUUAUGUGAAAGAAAAUGUAGAGAAAUUUGAAAGGAGAACUGGUUAUCAGUAGUGCCAUCCUGCUCAAAUAUCUUCAAAUACACACCACCAUCCAUGUGUGGGUUGAUUAAGGAGCUGACGUUCAUUAGAUCUGCAGUCUCCUGACCUGAUGUGCAUCAGAAUCACUGGGAGAACAAACAAACAAAAAUGAAUCCAAAACAAGCAACGAACAGACAGAUUCUCAAGUCUUGCCAAGUCCAAAGAUUGAUUUGGUGGAGAAAUUGUACUUUGAAAGCUGCCCA